This is a long non-coding RNA of Thunnus maccoyii (southern bluefin tuna), 587 nucleotides long. RefSeq lists it as uncharacterized. The record is from RefSeq and is a predicted model, not a curated record. Lineage: Eukaryota; Metazoa; Chordata; Actinopteri; Scombriformes; Scombridae. The transcript has 3 exons.
GUUUGAUGAAGGCAGGGGCGGUGAAGGAGGCGUGGGCGGGGUGUAAACCUGUGAGCAGCUCUCUGGAUUCAGAAACUUGGCUAAACAGCAACAUGCCGGACUUGAUUUUCAACUCAACAGGUCUACUCUUCAGUGCAGAUUGGAAUCAGCUGUCAGGGGAAACCCAAGGAGUGACCCAGAGCCCUGAUUACAGCAGCAGCAGCAGCAGCAGCAGCAGCGUUACUGAGUGCUUCGUCGUGAUGAUACGCCUCCACCUCUAGCACCGUCGGCUCGACGAGCACCGCGUCUGUGAAAGUUUGUGACACUGUUUUUUUUUUUUUUUUGAGAUUUUUAUUUUCAGUUUUUAUGUCAGCUAUGAGUCUGUGUGAGUGAUUCAAGAGAAAGACAGGAGUUUUAAAUCAGGAAAACGAGUCACAGAACAGCUUCCAGCAGAGCAGAAAAUGUUUGAGUGGUUUAAAACAUGAACACAUUUGUUUAAUUUCUCUGUUUCUGACCUCUUAUUUAACUAUUCAGAAUGUAAACUCUAUGUUUCACUUUAACUGCAGGAAUGUGUAAACAUUUUAUUUGUUUUCUAAUGUCAUGUGCAC